This 254-nucleotide ribosomal RNA is filed under the name uncultured bacterium. RNAcentral's name for it is "partial 16S ribosomal RNA". It matches the Rfam family "Bacterial small subunit ribosomal RNA", at positions 524 to 776 of the family's 1533-position model. The record is from RNAcentral.
CACGUAGGGUGCGAGCGUUGUCCGGAAUUAUUGGGCGUAAAGAGCUCGUAGGCGGUGUGUCGCGUCGGCCGUGAAAACCUGCAGCUUAACUGUGGGCUUGCGGUCGAUACGGGCAUCACUGGAGUUCGGCAGGGGAGACUGGAAUUCCUGGUGUAGCGGUGAAAUGCGCAGAUAUCAGGAGGAACACCAGUGGCGAAGGCGGUUGCCUGGAGCUUUGCUGACGCUGAGGCGCGAAGGCCAGGGGAGCAAACGGG